CAUUUUCCUCAUAUUAUUUGCUGAGCAAUUCUCGAUUACAAAAAAAUGGGUCACUUGUGGAAGAAAGAAGUCCUUUUCUAGUUGGACAACUUGUUUAGAAAUUGAAAAGUGUUCAAGCAGAGACUGGUUGACUACUUGCAAACUGUGGGAGGAAUUCCUAUACCAUGGUAUAAAACCAGAUGACUUUCAAGGUUUCUGCCAUUCAUGAAUCCAGAAGAACGGGAGGUGAAGAGGAGGAUGAGGAGGAAGAGGGGAACCAAAAGAAAGGAGACAGGAGAGGAAGAGGAAGAAGGAGAAGACAACUCAAGGGAUCAGGAAUGGGAACUUGCAGUCCAGUGAGUUCCAGGAGGGCACAGCAGUGGACAAAACCGCGAAAAAAAUCUGCCUUCAUGGACCCGAGGUGUCUGGAAGGCAGAUUCUUUCUGUGUCCAACCUGUUUGUGUGUGAACGUCCCAGCAAGGCACCCAGGGAAAGAGAGGGGUUUAUUCAUUCUACAAAUAUGUACUGAACGCUUCACAGAUGGCAGACUCUGUGGGAUGCUGGGGAUAUGGAAUGAAUCCUUGCCUUCAAGGAGCUCAUGAUCUCCUGGGGAGAGCUCUAUAUCCACUGAGACAUUUGCAGCUCCGUGUGUGGGAGGAAUACCCAAGCUACCUUGGCAACAAAGUGGUGGGGAGUGUUGGGAGUUUGCUUCUGCUUGGAAAUAGAUUUGGUGAUCUUGGAGGACCGUGACGGGAAUUCAAAGCCCGGUUCAGGUCACUAGCAUGAGUGAAAGAUUCUGCCUGGGCAGCGGGUACCUAAGGUUCAGCUCUAUGCUCUAGGGCACUGGGAAGAGUCUGUUCUCCAAAACCUGUCCCCUUACCCUUUUGUCUGCUCUCUCAGCACCGGUAUGUCAUUGUUAGAAAUUCAUUUCAUUGCCUCAAUACACUUUUGUUAUUUUGCAUAGCAAGCUAUUGUAUGAAAAGAUAUUUUACAAAUAAAUUCUUUAUCAUUUAAUUUGUAACUGUAUAAUGUUUUGGCAAGAACUACAUCCCCCAAAUGUCUUGUUGACAAAAACAUAUAAAUAUCUGACAUCCUGAGAGACAUAAUAGAAUUCUACAUAUGGAUGUAAGCUGUCUUUGUUAUUGUUUUCUUCUUCAUGCUUUUCCGAGUUGUGAAGAGGAUUGUAGGGAAAAGAGCUGCAGAUGAGGGAGCAGCUUCAGCUGGAAGGAGGUGGGAAAUGGUGUCCCGCAGGUGGGGAGGGGGCACCAAGAUACAGAUGAGGAGACCUCUUCCAUCAACAUUGCUCUGGAACUCUAUGGAAUAUUUUCCUCCUUCUCGAGUGAUCAUUAUAUUGACACAAUGAAGCAAAUAAGACACAAAAAACAAAAAACCAAAGACUCUGUAUUCACCCAGUAAUGGUGUUUUGUGCUUACUACUUGCCAGGCACUGUGCUGGGCACCAGGAGCAUGGCCUGAAGCAUCCAUUAAAGACAGUAGGUUGUGACUGCUUAGAGUGUUUGUUCUACCCAGAGGGGUGAAAUGAUGGUUUGUGAAACCUAAGCCCAACUCACUGAGGGCAUGUUACUAGAGGUUUGGCUUCCAAGAUGAUUUAAAAUCAUGUUUCCAAGUCCUGUCUUAAGAGGCACUUGAGCUUGUAAAGAUUUUAGAUGGGGGAAGCCACACAUUAAAGCUGGAAAAUUUUACUGCUUA
This is a long non-coding RNA of Herpailurus yagouaroundi (jaguarundi), 1688 nucleotides long. RefSeq lists it as uncharacterized. The record is from RefSeq and is a predicted model, not a curated record. Lineage: Eukaryota; Metazoa; Chordata; Mammalia; Carnivora; Felidae. The transcript is spliced from 4 exons.